CGGGGAAUAUUGGGCAAUGGGCGAAAGCCUGACCCAGCGACGCCGCGUGGGUGAUGAAGGCCUUCGGGUUGUAAAGCCCUGUCAUGCGGAAAGAACGACCCUGAGACGCAUACUCUCAGGGAGUGACGGUACCGCAGGAGGAAGCACCGGCUGACUCCGUGCCAGCAGCCGCGGUAAUACGGAGGGUGCAAGCGUUGUUCGGAAUUAUUGGGCGUAAAGGGCGCGUAGGCGGUAAUGUAAGUCAGAUGUGAAAUACUCCGGCUCAACCAGAGAACAGCAUCUGAAACUGCAUAACUAGAGUACAGAAGAGGGAAACGGAAUUCCCGGUGUAGAGGUGAAAUUCGUAGAUAUCGGGAGGAACACCAGCGGCGAAGGCGGUUUCCUGGUCUGAUACUGACGCUGAGGCGCGAAAGCGUGGGGAGCAAACAG
RNAcentral lists this ribosomal RNA (429 nucleotides) under uncultured bacterium. RNAcentral describes it as "bacterial SSU rRNA". It matches the Rfam family "Bacterial small subunit ribosomal RNA", at positions 355 to 775 of the family's 1533-position model. The record is from RNAcentral.